GGAUCAAUCUGUUGGUCGUGCCUUUGGUACGUACUAGCUUAUUGAUUUCUCCCUUCUGACGAACCAUGAUGUCAUUAAUUUGGUGUCAUGGGAAAUCAGGACUGUUACUUUGAAAAAAUUAGAGUGUUUAAAGCAGGCUCACGCUUGAAUACAUUAGCAUGGAAUAAUGAAAUAGGACGUUUUGAUUCUAUUUUGUUGGUUUCUAGGAUCGACGUA
RNAcentral lists this ribosomal RNA (216 nucleotides) under uncultured Glomeromycotina. Its description in RNAcentral is "partial small subunit ribosomal RNA". The stretch from base 39 to 216 matches the Rfam family "Eukaryotic small subunit ribosomal RNA", at positions 686 to 864 of the family's 1831-position model. Lineage: Eukaryota; Fungi; Glomeromycota. The record is from RNAcentral.